This is a non-coding RNA of Trichonephila clavipes, 74 nucleotides long. The record is from the annotation of a GenBank genome assembly. Lineage: Eukaryota; Metazoa; Arthropoda; Arachnida; Araneae; Nephilidae.
GUCAGGAUGGCCGAGAGGUCUAAGCCGCGGAGUUCAGGUUUCUGUGGGCGUGGGUUCGAAUCCCACUUCUGACA